Molecule: RNA transcript, 7871 nt
Organism: Rhincodon typus (whale shark)
Lineage: Eukaryota; Metazoa; Chordata; Chondrichthyes; Orectolobiformes; Rhincodontidae
Exons: 2
Source: RefSeq, a predicted model, not a curated record
UAUAUCUGUCAGCUAACAAUUCCAUUGCUAUGGGCUGAGAACUUAUUUCAGAAAACAUACUAUUUGAAGAGAUCUCAGUGCUGCAAUCUAAUACUUUUCUCUGCUUAUCACCAAUGCUCCUCCCCCUCUUUAUCUGUAUAUAGUUUGGAUCAUAAUGGAAAAGUUGUUCAAAUCAACUUUAACAAUGCUACUCGGGACUCAAUCCUUGAUGUCCCUGUGGAACUGGUGCAUCCUUUCCUUUCUGCUCUCAAGGACUAUGUGAAUCUUAUGUACAAGCUGGAAAACCUACUUACUUUCAAUUUGGAAGCAGGAGAUGUACUAACCUUUGAUAACUGGAGGAUAUUACAUGGCCGUCAGAACUAUAUUUCGACUGCUGGUUCUUCACGUCGCCUGGAAGGAGCUUACGCAAGCUGGGAUGAGGCUAUGUCACGACUGCGUUGCUUAGAGCAAGCAUUGUAUGGCAACAAAUAGAUACUUCAGAUAUUAAAAAAAGGUUGUAAUAGAGCAGGCCAUUGAUCGAUAAUAAGUGAUUUUUAGUAUUAAAACAGUAAAUUCUAAAAUUUGACAAUGCAUGCCCCAGAUAUAAUCAUGUAGGAGAAGCAGGAUGUGUGAGUUAAUACUUAUAUGAUUCUGGGAAUAAGAAAAUGUUAGUAUUUCAGAGGAUCACUUAAAUCAAGCAUUUCUGACUGGGAGGGAGGCCGGAUUGGGAAACUGAUACUGAACAGUAUUCCCUCUGAGCUAUGAGCCAAUCCGUCAAGUGGUGCACACAUCUUGCUGAAUAAAUGAGGUUUACUGCAAGUCUGGGAAGCAAGUUUAGCUCACAAACAAAGAACUGGUGGCCUCCCACCUAAUAGAAAACCAACAAACAAGUGGCAAGCUGACAUGAUUAAUCAGUUAGAAUUAAAAUCCAAAUUGCACCCCGGUUGGUUCUUGGAGCACGAAGCCUCUCACCACUUCCUUCCCCAACUCUCCCUUCCUCUUGCAGUCUCUUUGCUGGGUCUUCGCUCAUGCAUGUUGUGGCUGGAAAAGCUUUUGGGUGAGUGGUUGACUACUACACUGUAUUUAUGCAAAAAUGUGGUCUUAGGGAAUAAAAAUAUGGAGUUGACUUAUAUGUUGUGUCAACUUUACGCUAUAAUGUAAGGUACAAUAUAAAGGCAAGUACUUCUUCAUCACAUAAAAUAAUCACAUAUCUAGAUUUUAAAAAUCCACAAUACAGUACAGAAUUAAGUAUGCAAAUAUAUGGAGUCUGAAGAAAAGGCAAAGGGCACUGUCUGGAGUAAAUAUAUGAAAAUAAUUGAAAAAUGUUUUGUCACAAACAAAAAUCGCAAUUCUACCAGUAAAAAUAUUCUAUUUUCCAAACUGUUUGUAGAAACCCAAUUUAUUGUUUGAAAAUUUAGCAGCUGAUUCAAGCAAAUGAAAAAUUCAAUGAACUGGCAAUAAAUAACUGUCUAAAAUGUAAUAGGCCUCGGAGGCCAUUUCCAAUGGUGCUUUCAGGUGUUAUAGAGUCUGCAAAUGAUGUCUGAAUAUGAAUUGUCAAUUUAGUCUAUUUUUAAUGCAGGAUAUCAUCUGUAACCUUGCACUUGGAAGAGCCACCUCCUAGAGUAUCAUUAAGAAGUUAAUUAUCACAGUAAUGAGUGCUUGCAAUAUAAGUACCAAAUUGAAUCCACUUGACAACCAAUCAGCACUCUCCACUCCUACAGUAUGCAGUCGUUUUCCUUUAGUAUUCUUACAAAUUGUCCGGUGCAAGACGAAAAGCUUCAACAAAAAGUGUCUUUCUAGAUAAUAUUCAAGGUCUGUACUGUUUGUUACUGACUGUCUCCCAUGGUAUUUUCCCAGAUGACCAUCUUGGCAACUUGUAGUAUUUGCCACCUCUGGCAAUAUGUAGUACUAGGUAAGGUUUGUGCUACAACUGCCUGGGGUGGGGUCGGGCACUGGAAAUAAAGCCCUAUUAUACCCAGAGUCAACACAAAUGUGAAAAUCUGAUUAAACAACUGAAUUGCCAAAGUUUGAAAAACAAAAAGAUACACACUAGGUUUUUAUGAUUAAGAAGAAAAUAUCUAUUUAUUAUAAUCAAACAAUUUUAACAAGUGGCAAGAAAGAGACAUGAAUUGCUAACUUGUAACUAUAACUUAAAAUUCUACCACUCUUAAAAAUUCUUGCACACAUACAGACACACAAAGAUUACAAGUGGGGAAGGAACAAAAAUGUUGGUGAAGCACAAUUCUAGCACUAGUUGGAAAUACAGGCAUUGAUGAGUGGUUUUCCUUCUGUUCUCUUCUGAUGAGGUCAUGGAGUUGUGGAUAUGCCAGUUCCCCACUCUUCCAUUCAUUGAUGGUUGAAGAUUUGCCCUUUCACACAUGGUGGAAGAUUUGCCCUUUCAGUGUCUCAGAAGAUGUUUGUUCUCCUUUUCCUGCCACAAAGGAAUUUGCACACGGAGAGGUAGCAAGCUGCUCAGAAUUUUCUUUAACUUCUCCACACACAGAAGGGAGAGAGGGAGAUAGGUGCUUUAUCCUUCAGAGGCUGGAUGGUCGUGCAGUAUUAUUCAAACAAAACUGUCACCACUCAGCCAGGAACCAAUCAAGAUGUUGUUACUAUGCUGAGUACUCCUGAACACACACAACUGGCCCUGAUUGAAAAAUCAAUCAAAAGUCUGUCACUGUGCAAGAUGUCUAGUACUUCAUCCACUGCUUGAAUAAGUCAACAUUAUAAAUAUAACUCAUUGUAAGUUCUGGUAACUUUUUUUAAAACUGUGAUUCAGGGCAAUAUCUUUUCCCAUCUUUUAGUCCUCUGUCCAGAAAUAGAAGUUGUCAUUACUAUUGUUUCAUGGUAUUUGUUACCACAGAGGGCUACAGAGACUGGUUCAUAAAGUAUAUUCAAGGCUGAGAGAGAGACAGAUUUUUAAUCAGUAAGGGAUUCAAAGAGUGUGUGGAUAAGGCAGGAAAUGGAGUUGAGGAUUAUCAGAUCAGUCGUGAUCUUUUAUUGAAUGGGAGAACAGACUCGAUGGGUCAAAUAGCCUACUUCUGUUCCACAGAUUUGCUACCCUCUUGGAGAAGAAAUCUCUGUCCUAACUGGAUGACUCCUUACUCUGGAAUUAUGGCCUCUGAUCUUAGACUUUUCCACAAGGGGAAAUAACCUCUCAGCAUCUCCCUUUCAUGCCUCCAAAGAAUCUUAUAUAUGUCAAUAAGGUCCUUUCUCGUUCUUCUAAACUCCAAUGUGUAUAGGCCAACAAAUUCAUCUUUUCCUCAUAAGAAAAUCCUUCCAUACCUAGGAUCAAACUUGUGAGCCCUCUAUAGGCUGCCUCCAUUGCCAGUAUAUUGUUCUUUAGGAAAGGGGGACAAAACGGUUCACAAUAUUCUAAAUGUGGUCUAACUGGUAUCUUAUUUAGCUUUAACAGGACCUCCCUGUUUUUAUACUGAAUUCCCUUUGAACUGAAUGUCGACAUUCUAUUUGCCUUCCCCAUUACCUACUGAAUUUGUGUGCCAACUUGUUGUUAUUCAUGAAUGAGGGUUUCAAAAUCUUUUUGUGAUUCAGCUUUCUGUAGGCUUUCUACAUUUGAAUAAUAGUCAGAUCCUGUAUUCCUCCAGCAAAAGUGUGUUACUUCACAUUUCCCCACAUUAUAUUCAAUCUGCUCAAUUUUUACCAACUCAUUUAACCUUUCUAUGUCCAUCUAUAGACACUUUGUGUCAUCCUCACAUUUGCCUUCCCACCUAUUUUUGUGACAUCUGCAAAGUUGGUGAUUUUUUUUGCCUUCAUUCAUGGCACGUGGGCAUUGCUGGCUGGGCCAGUAUGUAUUGCCCAUCCCUAGUUGCCUUUGAGAAAGUGGUGGUGAGCUGUCUUUUUGAACUGCUGCAGUCCACAUGCUGUAGGUAGACCCACAAUGCCUUUAGGGAGAGACCCAGCGACAGUGAAGGAUUGGCAAUUUAUUUCCAAGUCAGUAUGCUGAAUGGUUUGGAGGGGAACCCGCAGGUGGUGAUGUUCCCAUGUAUCUGCUGCCCUUGUCCUUCAAGAUGGAAAUGGUUGUAUGUUUGGAAAAUGCUUUCUUUGGUGAAGUCCUGCAGUGCACAUUGUAGAUAAUACACACUGCUGUUACUGAGCAACGGUGGUGAAGGGAGUGGAUGUUUGUGAAUGUGGUGCCAAUCAAUCGGGUUGCUUUAUCUUGGAUCAUGUGAAGCUUCUUGAGUGUUGUUGGAGCUGCACCCAUCCAAGCACGUGGGGCAUAUUCGUCACUCUCCUGACUUGUGCCUUGUAGACAGUGGACAAGCUUUAGGGAGUCAGGAGGUGAGUUACAGUCCGCAGUAUUCCUAGCUUCUGAUCUGUUUUUGUAAACACUAUAUUUAUGUGGUGAGUCAACUUGAGUUUCUGGUCAACGGUAACCCCCAGAUGUUGAUAGUGGGGGAAUUCAGUGAUGUUAACACCGUUGAAUGUCAAAUGCAGGUGAUUAGAAUGUCUUUUAUGGGAGAUGGUCAUUGGCUGCAUUUGUGUGGCGUGAAUGUUACUUACCACCUGUCAACCUAAGCCUGGAUAUUGUCCGGAUCUUGUUAGAUUUGAGUAUGGACUGCUUCAGUAUCUGAGGUUCAUGAAUGAUGCUAGCAUUGUGCAAUCAUUGGCAAACAUGCCCACGUCUGCCCUUAUGAUGGAAAGAAGGUCAUUGAUGAAGCAGCUGAAGGUGGUUGGGCUGAGGACACUACCCUGAGGAACUCCUGCAGAUAUAUCCUGGAGCUGAAAUGUUUGACCUCCAUCAAUCACAACCAUCUUCCUAUCCACCAGGUAUGACUCCAACCAGCAGAGAAUUUUCUUUAUUUUGAUUUACUAAUGUCACAUAUACCAAGACACAGUGAAAAAUAUUGUUUUGCAUAACAAAUCAGACCAGACAAAUCAUACCUUACAUUAUUAUAUCAGGGUAAUAGAACAGAAUGCAGAAUGUAGUGUUUCAGCCAUAGAGAGUUUGCCCAAUACCCAUUGAUACCAGUUUUGCUAGGGCUCCCUGAUUCCAACUCGAUUGAAUAUGGCCUUGAGGUCAAGGGCACUGACUUUCAUCUCACCUCUGGAAUUCAGCUCGUUUGUCCAUGCUUGCACCAAGGCUGUAACGAAGUCAGGAGCUGAGUGGCCCUGUCGGAACCCAAACUGGGCAUCACUGAACAGGUUAUUGCUGAGCAGUUGCUGCUUGAUAGCACUGUUGAUGACACCUUCCAACACUUGCCAUCUUGACGAUGUCCUCCUUAUCCCAACUCUUCUGUUAGCUAGCCCAUCCUGUAUCCAUGCUAAUAUAUUACCCCUAACACCAUGGGCUCUUGUCCCGUUAAGUAGCCUAGUAUGCAUUACCUUAUCAAGUGCCUUUGGAAAUCGAAAUAUAUUGCAUGUACUGGUUCCCAUUUACCUAUCUUGCCAUGGUGUACCAGUCCAAUCCACUCCUGACUGUUAGUGUAAGUUGGAGUGAGGAGCUGAUCCACACAGAUCUUAUCUACCUAGAACUUUAGCAUAAACACUGCCUACGUCUUGUUUUAGCACCUCCAGGCAAGUUCAAAUGAUGGCAAUCAGAAAUUUGGACCACAAUUGUGAGCUAAAGCCAGACUUUCAUAUUGUCCUGUUAGCAGCUAUUCAGUUCAUGUUUUCACCUUCGCCCUCCAGAUUUCCUGGAUUCAGCUUAGCUUUUCUCAAAGUUCCAUCUCUUAACUAACUCUUCUAGGAGUCUUAACAAUACGCUUAAAAUAAAACAAAUAACAUGUGCUUCAGACCUGAAACAAAAACAGAAAUUGCUGGGGAACUCAAUAGGUCUGGCAGCAUCUGUGGGAAGAAAGCAGAGCUAAUAUUUUGAGCCUGGUGACUCUUUAUCAGAGUCCUGAUGUGCCACAUGCACCAAAUCUUAAUCCUCAAAAGCCACAUAUGAAAAAGUCCUUCAUAUUUUCUGCCAUUGUCUCACCCCCUUGUAUUUCCUCAAUACGUUCCAAAAGUUCAAAACUCUGUAUUCUUGAGCAAAUUCACUCCACCAGUGGAAAUUCCAUCCCUAAACAUCCCUCUCCUCUUUGAAAGCUUAAUUCCUUGACUGAGCAUUUGGUCAUCUUGAAUAACAUCUUCUCCUUAGGAUCAUUGUCAAGUGAUGAAGGAGCUGCGUUCUGAAAGCUUGUGAUUUCAAGUAAACCUGUUGGACUAUAACCUGGUGUGUGUGACUCUGACUUUGACCACCCCAGUCCAACACCGCCACCUUCACAUCAUGGCUACCGCAGGAUCAGUGUCAGCUCUUGCCUGAUUAAACUGUUGAGCCUUUAGAAAUGCCUUCUCGGCACUUUUUGACAUCAUGUGAAAAUGAGCCCAAGUCCCACCAGCUCCAGAGUUGUGUAACAACAUCUCCAACCAGGUUGAUUAGAAAAACAGGUUAAAUGAUUAAAAAAAAAGAUUUAGCAAUUUAGAUACAGAAUCAAAGUAUCCUACUGUACUUUUGUAUUAGGUUUAUCUUCUAUUAGUGUGUGAUUGUUUUUGAAUUAAUACAAUGUCUUUUGUAUAUGAGUGAUUCAGCCACUCAUGAUUGUACCAACUGAAUAAGUAGGAAUAUUCAUCCAGCCCACCUUAUAACUGCUGAUGAUUCUUAUCCACUUCUGUUUCAUACUCUAUGUAGAUUUUUAAAAUUGCCCACCAUGUAAUCCUGUUGAUUAGUUUGAUAUUGCUUUGUUUAACAUUAUAAAUAAAUUUGUGAUCUAUUUUUAAAUGUAAAUUAGCCAUUUUAAAUACAACAGCUAACGCAUUCCACUCAUCAGAAGGCCUCCAAAAAGUGCAGAGUCAUUUAAGAGACACAAUCUGAGUCAAUGAACUAAUCGUGCUAAAAAAACAGAAAUUGUUGGCGAAACUCAGGAGGUCUGGCAGCAUCUGUGAGGAGAAAGCAGGCUUAAUGUUUCAGGUCCGGUGACUUUAUCAGAACUGAAAGCAGCUGGGAAUAGGUGGUAUUUACGCUGAAUGAGAUGGGAUGAUCGAUGGGGGUAUAGUUGAAUGAAUAGUUGGAGAUGGAGCCCAGAGAGAGGGCACCAUUCCUUCUGGACUCCCUGGUCCAACCCUCCUCCAUUUCCAACACAUCCCCACGGCAACUGUCCGUGCAGUGGCAGAAGAUGUAACACCUGCCUUUUCACUUCCUCACUAUCCAAGGCCCCAGCCAUACCUUUCAGAUGAAGCAGUGAUUUACCAACACUUCACUCAAUCUAGUCUAUUCACUGCGCACAACAUGGUCUCCUCUACACUGGGGAGUCAAAGCACAUACUUGGUUUCCCUUUGCAGAACAACUAUGUUCUGUCCACAAAAAUGACCCUGAGCUGCUGCUUCUGCCACUGCAACACACUACCAUGCCCUCUGGCCAACAUCUGUCUCAGGCUCGCUGUAGAGCUCUAGCAAAGAUCAGUGCAAGCUGGAAGAGACGCUAAACUUGAAACGUUAAUUUUGCUUUCUCCCCAAAGAUCCUGCAAGACCUGCUGAAUUUCGCUGUCUAUUUCUGUUUUUUGUUUCAGAUCCCCAACAUCUGCAAUUCUGUGUUUUAUUACAUAUAAUUGUGCUUUCUAUCCUGGGAGAAUGGAAUCAGCAGGUGACUGUGUAUACAGAACACGCCUCACCUAAAGCCAAUCAGAAUUAAAUCAUGCUCUGUCUGGUCCAAUCAGAGUUUGUGGAUACCACUGGUCAAGUUGUGGUUGUAAUCUUUGGAAAUGGUUAUUAAGUCCUCACUUCAGUGGUACAGUGUGCAGAAAUCAGAAAGAAGACUUUCAGAAAAGAACUUCAUCCCAGUUAACCAAGAACUAGUAUUCCAUUGUAAAUCAGUUGAGUUCAAUGUCUUGUUAAGUGUCACUCGUGUUGUAUUUGUUUCGAUAUCAAUACAUUUGUAGACCUUGCUGAAA